GAGGCCCCCCCCAAAUGUUACCGCGCAGGGGGGGUGUCUGUGUGCUCCCUAUGGACAGUGGGGGGAUUACCGUGCCCGGGGUAGGGGGCAGCUGAGCCUUCCGGCUCCUGGGGUGGGGGUUAGCAGGGCCGGGGGUGCCCUCUGCCCCCCCCAGUGCUGGAGAGCAGCCCCUCCCCCCCCAUCAGGCUUCCAAAACGGGGCUCUCCCGGAGGUGCCAGCCCGCGCGGGCCCCUGGGGGCACGUGUUUCGCUAGAAGCGCCCUGUGGCUUGCCCGCAACCGCUGAGGCGGCCUCUGCCGUCCCCUGCACCCCGCCGUAGCGCGUUUCAGCCGUUAGGGGAAGUGGCUUUUCUUCAUUUGCGGCUUGCAGAGCUUUCCGGAGCGACAUGCUGCAAAACCAGCGCUGUGCUGACUCGCGCUCCUCUCUCCCUGCAGAGCCGGGCGCUCCUCUCCGCCUGCGGCUGCUUUCCGCGUCCUGCCGCAGCAGUGAGUCACGCCGCUCCACCCCAAAGGUACUGCGGGGGGGGGGGGAGUCAGACGCGUCCGCUUCCCCUCGUCGCCGCCUCCCAGCAAGCCUUCCAGCGUGGCGGGGUCUGCGGUGACCCCGGCCAUUCCUGCAGCGCUUGCCAGAGCAGCCUUGGGACGGUUUGAGGCCUCCCCCUGCCCCCCUCGGGGGGAGGCUAUAGAAAUCUCAGACACGCCUCGGCUCCGGCAGCUUCUCCCGAACUUAUUCCCAGCCCCGUGCCGACCUCCGGCGCUGUAAAUGCAGCUGCACGCUGUUGUGGGCGCGCUGGGUGGCCGAGCUGGUCUCGUGCUGCCCUCGGACAGAGCCGAGCUGGCUCUGCGAACGCAGCGAUGCUGGUUGCUCCCUUCUCCGGUGCCACUGCCGCUUUUCUCCUGAUAACAGCCGGGUUUUUUCCUCUCCAGUUCGCAGCCUCCGUCUCUGCUGGCCGCCCAGAAGGACGUACAAAGCCGCUGGAAGCGGGCAGAGCCAAGAGGAUGAGAGCGGAGUUUCCCUCUGGAUCUCGGCUGGGAUGGCAUCCCGCAGGCGGGAGGCGCCUCUCCUCCGCCUGGAAGAAGAGCGUGAGCGGAGGAGGAGGAGGAGGAGGUGAGCGAGGAUCAGCUCUUCCCACCGGAGCAGGCCCUGCCGCGGUCUCCGCACGUGGCUGCGGAGUUCUGCCACGGCCCUGAUGGGUUUCCCACUGGGCUUCGGAUCUCGGUCUCUGCGCCUCAAGAUGGAGGAAGGAGGAGCCGGAGUGUUGCUCCUCGCUUCGGAGGUAAGGCUGUUUUUUGAAGAAACGGGAAAUAAUUUGCCGUUUGAAAACAAAACCCUUCGCAACCGGGGACGUUUGUGACUGCAAAGGUUGCCACACUUCCCAUUGCGCACGGCGCGGUGGCUGUGACAACGGCCGCGCGGUGCUCGUCGGAGCCCGGGAACGUGGGUCUGGCCCUGGCUCGUGUUUUUGUGCCUCGGCUUUGCCGCGUGGGGAGGGGGGGGCCCUGCGCGCUCCUCACGGCUGGCCUGUUCUCUCCUAGCUCUUCGGCCUCGGUGAUGCCGGUGCAGCGUCGGAGGAGGCCUGACCCUGCCCUGGAGGAGCAGCACACGCUGCGGAAGGGCAGCAGGAAGCGACUCCCGGCCUUGGCGGCCUCCCGGCACCAGGGACAGGCGCUCCCAACACGGAGACGCCCUCCGACCGUCCCGCUGAGGGCUGGUGCCCCCGUUCCGCCAGGAAAAGCCCCCGUGAGCAAAGGGGAACCCUGGAGCUUCCCGUGACCGGUUUCCAGCCCAGCCCACCAGUGACAUUUUGGGAGCGAGGGGGCUCGGGGGGGUUCCCUGGAUCCUCCAAGUACGGUUGCUCUUCACGCAGUGUGACAGCUCCGCCGAGCACGGAGCACAGAGAGGGGUAACAGAUGUAUCGCCGUUUUGGGGUACAGUCAGACAUUUAAUGCUCUACAGCCGUGGCAGAUGAAUAAAUAUGGAUUCCUGGUGUCUCCUUGCGGUC
Long non-coding RNA from Dromaius novaehollandiae (emu), 2001 nucleotides. NCBI's taxonomy places the organism in Eukaryota, Metazoa, Chordata, Aves, Casuariiformes, Dromaiidae. The record is from Ensembl.